Long non-coding RNA from Eriocheir sinensis (Chinese mitten crab), 1814 nucleotides. RefSeq lists it as uncharacterized. The record is from RefSeq and is a predicted model, not a curated record. Lineage: Eukaryota; Metazoa; Arthropoda; Malacostraca; Decapoda; Varunidae. The transcript has 3 exons.
UAAUUCCAUAAAACUUAGUAAUCUGAACAUAGCGUCGUAUAUCAAUUGCUUUUUCUUUACAUAUUUUCUCUCUCGUUCCUUCCUUAUCUCUUACCUUCGCUUCCCUUGUUUUGCCUUGUCUUUCCUGUCACCAUGUUCUAUUGUUUCCUCUUUCUUUUUCUUGCCUUUUUUUGCGAUUCCCUUCCAUUCCUGUCCUCUUCCAAUCCCUUCCUUUGCCCUCUUCUUUCCUCCCUCUUUUUUCUUCUCUUUCUUUCCCUUACCUUUUUCGUCAUUUCCUUCCAAUCCGUUUCCUUCCUUGUCUUGUCAUUCCCUUUCAUUUUUUCUUCUUCCAAUCUAUUUAUUUGCCUUUCUCGUCAUUCUAUUCCAUUAUUUUCCCAUUCCACUCCUUUUUAAAUACUAUCUUAGCAGGACUGGGGUUAAAACUAUCUUAUUUUCAUCUUUCCAGGGCCUCGUUGAUGUGUUAGUGAAGAGGCAAGCAUCGUUAUUCGUAAGGUAAUGUUUGGACUGUACCGAAACGCUUCACUCGCGACUCAGAAGCUUCGAAAUCCAAACCCGAACCACUCUGUACCACCGUUGCCAGAUUAUCGUACUCAGAGCAUCGUAUUUAUCUGUUUCUGACCCUCAACUACUGCCAAGAAACACCAAUAAUUAACCAUUUUAACGACAACUAUAUACGAAGACAGUUAUUGGGGUGGAGGAGACAGAUUUUGGGUCGGAAAUCGGAAAACAUAAGAAACUGAGUACGACAAUUUGGCAACGUUGCUUUGGACGUCGAUCUCUCAGUCCACUCCACGACACCAUCCGUUCCGGCACUUCCUCCUCCUGCUCCUCCUCCUCCUCCUGUAUCGUCAGCAACUACUAGAGGAGACGUUGAAGUCUACGAAGUCCUCCUCACGCACCCCAUCCAUCACGACACAGCACCUAAGUCAUCCUGCCACUAUCAAGGAAGCAUGAAGGGCCACACAUCUUCACCUGCCACGUGAACAUAAUCAAGAGGAGCUGUGAAUCUGGCCGGCCUCUGUGUUAUCUGGAGGACCAACACUCGCCAUACACACCAAGACAUCACAGCUGAUAUCCAUGGUGCAUUACAUGGUGAGUAUUGGAAGAUUUCAGUUAUUUACAAAACUCUGAUACAACAUUACAAACACAUGACACCUUCAAUGUAAAAUCCAGAACACAUUUACUAAAGGGGCUAUUACACCGGGCAAAUUUUCCGUGGAUCUUCAGUCAAACCACAAUUUCCGCUGGUGUGGUUUUCUGACGAGUCCACGAUCUUCCAAAGCUACAGUAGAUUUCACCAAAGGAAGACGGUAUUACUCACCAUCAUCAUCAGCAGCAAUAACAAGAAACGAAUGAGAACCAAGAUAGCGGAAAUUGUGGUUUGACUUUAGAAGUUUAGAUCCACGGAAAAUUUGCCCAGUGUAAUAGCCCCUUAACAUAACGCCUUGAAAAUUAAACAAAAAUGGCGGGUUGCACUGCACUCCUCAGAGAUGUAUGUUUGUUUAGACUCCUUGAUUCCCCUUAACCUCUCCUCCCCACUGCCCAUUUGCAUCCCCUUUCCCCUGUACCCUAUCCCAACCCUCACCCUCACUUGCCCACCCUCCCUUCACCACACACCUAACACUCCAGUCUAGCACAGUGUUUCCUACCCUCCAACAUAACCUUUCAAUGCCCUAGUUCACUGGUAUACCCUACACCCAAACCUAAUCCUCACCCUCUUGACACCCUACAGUUUACACACCAAACACUCCAGUCUUGUACAGCACUUCUUAGGCCCCGUUCACGCUGUGCCGACUCUGGGCCACGACAACCCA